CACAAGUAUGCAGAGAGGCAGGCAGAAGGAGAGGGGGAAGCAGGCUCCCUGCUGGGGUCUGGCAGGCCCAAUCUGCAGGCACUGAGCAAUUGGAGCAGGUGUGCAGGCUUUAGGUGGGAGACACCUACUUAUCCGCACCUGACAACCCUUCUUCACUCUGGCUCCACGAGACCUGAAGUUUGGAAAUCAGCAUCCGAGCCAGUCAUCCAGCUUGUCUCAGGAUGUCAGCGUUCAGAGAAAACAGCAGGCCCAUGGGGCACAAUGUCACAUCCAUGUCAGGAUGAGAGGUAAAAGUUCUCUUUCACCCU
RNAcentral lists this long non-coding RNA (308 nucleotides) under Mustela putorius furo (domestic ferret). RNAcentral's name for it is "lncRNA (ENSMPUG00000027455.1)". The record is from RNAcentral. Lineage: Eukaryota; Metazoa; Chordata; Mammalia; Carnivora; Mustelidae.